CCUACGGGAGGCAGCAGUGGGGAAUAUUGCGCAAUGGGCGAAAGCCUGACGCAGCUACGCCGCGUGAGGGAUGAAGGUCUUCGGAUCGUAAACCUCUGUCAGCAGGGCAGAACGGUCACUGUGCUAAUCAGCAGUGAAUUGACGGUACCUGCAAAGGAAGCACCGGCUAACUCCGUGCCAGCAGCCGCGGUAAUACGGAGGGUGCGAGCGUUAAUCGGAAUUACUGGUCGUAAAGCGCUCGUAGGCGGUAUGUCAAGUCAAGGGUGAAAUCCCCGCGCUCAACGAGGGAACUGCCUUUGAAACUGGCAAACUGGAGGGUUUGAGAGGAUAGUGGAAUUCCAGGGGUAGGAGUGAAAGCCGUAGAGAUCUGGAGGAACAUCAGUGGCGAAGGCGACUAUCUGGCACAUAACUGACGCUGAGGAGCGAAAGCGUGGGUAGCAAACAGGAUUAGAUACCCUUGUAGUC
Molecule: ribosomal RNA, 465 nt
Filed under: uncultured bacterium
Lineage: Bacteria
Description: partial 16S ribosomal RNA
Rfam family: Bacterial small subunit ribosomal RNA
Source: RNAcentral